This 134-nucleotide non-coding RNA is filed under the name Jeotgalicoccus aerolatus. RNAcentral describes it as "FMN riboswitch aptamer (RFN element)". It matches the Rfam family "FMN riboswitch aptamer (RFN element)". From Rfam's summary of the family: The RFN element is a highly conserved domain that is found frequently in the 5'-untranslated regions of prokaryotic mRNAs that encode for flavin mononucleotide (FMN) biosynthesis and transport proteins. The record is from RNAcentral. Lineage: Bacteria; Bacillati; Bacillota; Bacilli; Caryophanales; Staphylococcaceae.
UCUUUCGGGGCAGGGUGUAAUUCCCAACCGGCGGUAAUCUUUCGAGAGAGCCCGCGACCUGUACGAUAUUUUUAUCGUAUGGCUGAUCCAGUUAAAGUCUGGAGCCGACAGUGAGAGUCUGGAUGGGAGAGAGA